This 494-nucleotide ribosomal RNA is filed under the name uncultured bacterium. Its description in RNAcentral is "partial 16S ribosomal RNA". It matches the Rfam family "Bacterial small subunit ribosomal RNA", at positions 28 to 523 of the family's 1533-position model. The record is from RNAcentral.
GAUGAACGCUAGCGGCAGGCUUAACACAUGCAAGUCGAGGGGUAGAUUACUUCGGUAAUUGAGACCGGCGCACGGGUGCGUAACGCGUAUACAAUCUACCUUUUACAGAGGGAUAGCCCAGAGAAAUUUGGAUUAAUACCUCAUAGUAUUUUCGAAUCGCAUGAUUUGAUUAUUAAAGUUCCAGCGGUAAAAGAUGAGUAUGCGUACCAUUAGCUAGAUGGUAAGGUAACGGCUUACCAUGGCUACGAUGGGUAGGGGUCCUGAGAGGGAGACCCCCCACACUGGUACGGAGACCCGGACCAGACUCCCACGGGAGGCAGCAGUGAGGAAUAUUGGACAAGGGGGGCAAGCCUGAUCCAGCCAUGCCGCGUGCAGGAAGAAGGUCCUAUGGAUUGUAAACUGCUUUUAUACAGGAAGAAACACCUCUACGUGUAGAGACUUGACGGUACUGUAUGAAUAAGGACCGGCUAACUCCGUGCCAGCCGCCGCCGUAA